RNAcentral lists this long non-coding RNA (1753 nucleotides) under Homo sapiens (human). Its description in RNAcentral is "non-protein coding lnc-ZNF644-1:11". The record is from RNAcentral. Lineage: Eukaryota; Metazoa; Chordata; Mammalia; Primates; Hominidae.
CAGGACUGCAGGCUGGGGCUCCGCUCCCCGGCGGGAGCCCGCGCGUGGUUCCCAGCGAAGUCCCCGCGCGGCUGGGCCCAGCGUGAGUAUUCUCCGCCCGCUGUCCUCCCCCUGGAGGCGGCAGCGCCCGUUUAUUUGAGCUUCUAAUGUGAGGAAAAACACGGAAUGACAAGUGUGGGAAAGAGCAAGCACUAAAUUACUGUCAGAAAAAUAAACGGAGUAGCACAGUGCUGCUCGGUGAUUUACGGGGGCAAUUAGUCACCACCCCACGGCGCUGCUGAGGACAGCACGGCAGCAGACAAGUCAGGCCCAUGAGGAAGAAGAGGCUUUGCACUGCUCUCCAGACAACUUUUCAAACAACAAGAGAGGAUAUUUGAGCACAUUAGGUUUUGUGUCUUCAUUCUGGGUACCUACUCUUCAUAUUAUUCUACCAACUUAAUACAUAAACAUAUUUUUAGCACAAUAUGAACCUGUUCUAUGUGUGUUUAAAAGCCUCCAGCAGCAACUUUUUUCUCUCCCACUGUCCAAAGUUGGGUUUUCCCCAUCCCUUAAAAAACAAAACAAAAAAACCUUUCUUCACUCCAAAUUGUCCCCCUGGUGUGUGGUUUUGGUCUUUCUCAUUACUUCUUGCAUCUUGCUACAUGUUCUGCAUUUGCUCAGAGCCACUGGGUGCUAAGGAAUUUGGUCUGCUGCUCCUCUGGGAAAGUUUGGUAAGCUGGUACAAGGAGGUGAUGAACAAGGCUAAAUGAAAAUCAUACAUAAACUUCCCAAUAUUUGUGAACAUGUUCUUUAACAUACCAUACAUAGUUUCUAUGUAUAUGUAACAUAGCAAAACAAACUUGCUAAGGUAUAAUUAAUUGGUAUGCAUGCCUUCAUAAAUAUUCACCAUCAGAAGAAACCUAGAAUGAAAGGUUGUGAAAGAACCCAGGAAUGAGAAAGACUUUAUUGACUAAAGGCCAUGUCUAUGUAGGGGCAACAAUGAAGCUGUGGGUGAGCAAAUGAAGCUUCAUCAGGAGUUUAGUAUCCUUAUGUAGCAUUACCUAAGAAUGCUACCAUAGUAAAUUUCUGAAGUACUUUACCUGUUACAAAGAACGUUUGUAAUCUCCUUUUCUUAUUUGAUCUUGCCCUGGCUUUAGUCAGGAACACCUGCUCAGUUAGAAAUGUAUUCGGUGGGUAUGUACGCAGUUGGAGAAUGUGCCCCAACACACGCCGCCUUUGGCCUGUAUGUUGGAGUCCUAGAGAGGCAGACAAUGUUGAUGAGCUUGGUACCAGCAUGGUGCGCCAUUCAUCCGGACACAAUUUCUGAUAAAGAGGGUCACAACUGGGAGAAACCUCAGAUUCUACUUGCUUCUCUUCUCCACGUUAUUAGACUUUUUUUCCCCUCUUGAAUUUUAUAAGCACACUCCUUUUAAAACAAUUAAUUAAUAACGAGCACUGGGAUUUGAUGUAGAAUUGCGUAUUUGUAACUGCAAUGGCACUGGUUUUCAACUACCCUGUAACAAGGAAGCAAUUCUAACCAGCAAAAGAGGCAGACGUGUUUCUGUGCAACAUCACAGGCGUGUGAAAUUGUUCAGAUAUUGAGAUAUCAGGAGUGAUAUAAAUUGGAAAUUUAACCAAAAAUAUUUUCCAUCAGUGAACAAAGCCGAUUUUAAAGUGCCUCUUGCAUUUUUCAGAUCUUUCUCUUUCUUUUUCCCAAAGUCACAUUGUAGUUUCUGAUAAAGGAACACACUGGGAAAACUAAGCACAUAUUUAA